UACGUAGGGGGCUAGCGUUGUCCGGAAUCAUUGGGCGUAAAGAGCGCGUAGGCGGCCAGAUAAGUCCGGUGUAAAAGUCACAGGCUCAACCUGUGAAUGCCGCUGGAAACUGUCUGGCUUGAGUCCGGGAGGGGCGAGUGGAAUUCCUGGUGUAGCGGUGAAAUGCGCAGAUAUCAGGAGGAACACCAAUGGCGAAGGCGGCACUCUGGGCCGUGACUGACGCUGAGACGCGAAAGCGUGGGGAGCGAACAGG
RNAcentral lists this ribosomal RNA (253 nucleotides) under uncultured bacterium. RNAcentral describes it as "partial 16S ribosomal RNA". It matches the Rfam family "Bacterial small subunit ribosomal RNA", at positions 524 to 776 of the family's 1533-position model. The record is from RNAcentral.